This 486-nucleotide ribosomal RNA is filed under the name uncultured bacterium. RNAcentral describes it as "bacterial SSU rRNA". It matches the Rfam family "Bacterial small subunit ribosomal RNA", at positions 28 to 496 of the family's 1533-position model. The record is from RNAcentral.
GACGAACGCUGGCGGCGUGCCUAAUACAUGCAAGUUGAGCGCUGAAGGUUGGUACUUGUACCGACUGGAUGAGCAGCGAACGGGUGAGUAACGCGUGGGGAAUCUGCCUUUGAGCGGGGGACAACAUUUGGAAACGAAUGCUAAUACCGCAUAAAAACUUUAAACACAAGUUUUAAGUUUGAAAGAUGCAAUUGCAUCACUCAAAGAUGAUCCCGCGUUGUAUUAGCUAGUUGGUGAGGUAAAGGCUCACCAAGGCGAUGAUACAUAGCCGACCUGAGAGGGUGAUCGGCCACAUUGGGACUGAGACACGGCCCAAACUCCUACGGGAGGCAGCAGUAGGGAAUCUUCGGCAAUGGACGAAAGUCUGACCGAGCAACGCCGCGUGAGUGAAGAAGGUUUUCGGAUCGUAAAACUCUGUUGGUAGAGAAGAACGUUGGUGAGAGUGGAAAGCUCAUCAAGUGACGGUAACUACCCAGAAAGGGACGG